CCUACGGGAGGCAGCAGUGGGGAAUAUUGCACAAUGGGCGAAACCCUGAUGCAGCGACGCCGCGUGAGUGAAGAAGUAUUUCGGUACGUAAAGCUCUAUCAGCAGGGAAGAAAAUGACGGUACCUGACUAAGAAGCCCCGGCUACCUACGGGCCAGCAGCCGCGGUAAGACGUAGGGGGCCAGCGUUAUCCGGAUUUAAUGGGUGUAAAGGGAGCGUAGACGGCAGCGCAAGUCUGGAGUGAAAUCCCAUGGGUUAACCAUGGAACUGCUUUGGAAACUGGGGAGCUAGAGUGCAGGAGAGGUAAGCGGAAUUCGUGGUGUAGCGGUGAAAUGCGUAGAUAUUAGGAGGAACACCAGUGGCGAAGGCGGCUUACUGGACUGUAACUGACGUUGAGGCUCGAAAGCGUGGGGAGCGAACAGGAUUAGAUACCCCAGUAGUC
This 440-nucleotide ribosomal RNA is filed under the name uncultured bacterium. Its description in RNAcentral is "partial 16S ribosomal RNA". It matches the Rfam family "Bacterial small subunit ribosomal RNA", at positions 338 to 795 of the family's 1533-position model. The record is from RNAcentral.